CCUACGGGAGGCAGCAGUGAGGAAUAUUUGUCAAUGGGCGCUAGCCUGAACCAGCCAAGUAGCGUGAAGGAUGACUGCCCUCUGGGUUGUAAACUUCUUUUAUAUGGGAAUAAAGUGCAGUAUGUAUACUGCUUUGCAUGUACCUUAUGAAUAAGGCUCGGCUAACUCCGUGCCAGCAGCCGCGGUAAUACGGAGGAUCCGAGCGUUAUCCGGUUUUUUUGGGUUUAAAGGGAGCGUAGGCGGGUUGUUAAGUCAGUUGUGAAAGUGUGCGGCUCAACCGUAAAAUUGCAGUUGAUACUGGCAUCAUUGAGUACAGUAGAGGUAGGCGGAAUUCGUAGUGUAGCGGUGAAAUGCUUAGAUAUCACGAAGAACUCCGAUUGCGAAGGCAGCCUACUGGACUGGAACUGACGCUGAUGCUCGAAAGUGUGGGUAUCAAACAGGAUUAGAUACCCCUGUAGUC
RNAcentral lists this ribosomal RNA (460 nucleotides) under uncultured bacterium. RNAcentral describes it as "partial 16S ribosomal RNA". It matches the Rfam family "Bacterial small subunit ribosomal RNA", at positions 338 to 795 of the family's 1533-position model. The record is from RNAcentral.